Molecule: ribosomal RNA, 445 nt
Filed under: uncultured bacterium
Lineage: Bacteria
Description: partial 16S ribosomal RNA
Rfam family: Bacterial small subunit ribosomal RNA
Source: RNAcentral
GUGAGGAAUAUUGGACAAUGGGCGCAAGCCUGAUCCAGCCAUGCCGCGUGCAGGAAGACGCAUCUAUGGUGUGUAAACUGCUUUUGUACGGGAAGAAACACUCCCUCGUGAGGGAGCUUGACGGUACCGUAAGAAUAAGGAUCGGCUAACUCCGUGCCAGCAGCCGCGGUAAUACGGAGGAUCCAAGCGUUAUCCGGAAUCAUUGGGUUUAAAGGGUCCGUAGGCGGUUUAAUAAGUCAGUGGUGAAAGCCCAUCGCUCAACGAUGGAACGGCCAUUGAUACUGUUAGACUUGAAUUACAAGGAAGUAACUAGAAUAUGUAGUGUAGCGGUGAAAUGCUUAGAUAUUACAUGGAAGACCAAUUGCGAAGGCAGGUUACUACUUGUGGAUUGACGCUGAUGGACGAAAGCGUGGGGAGCGAACAGGAUUAGAAACCCGGGUAGUCC